CGGCUGUGCCCCUUAUUUUCUGUCACAGUUCGGAAAAUGGCGACAAGACACCGCCCGCUUCGGGCAGCGGUGACACUGGAAGCGGACACCGAGCGGAAUAACGGGCGUUGUUCUCUGCUGAUUUCUACUAUUCUUGGAGCAGCUUGAAGUGUGCUGGGUAAUGUGUUCACCACUGACAAAGAGAUCGUUCAGCUGGUUGCCAAUGUGGACUCAGUCAUUGCCACUUUCCACUGGUUUGAAGCCAUUGCAACUGUAAGUGGCGGAGUGCUGAGAGGAGCGGGAAAGCAGAAGAUUGGCGCCAUCGGCAACUUGGUGGGCUUCUAUUCCAUCGGCUUUCCCCUUGGGAUCACACUGAUGUUUGCUGCACAUCUUGGAGUCAUGGGUCUUUGGUCUGGGUUCUUCGUCUGUGUGGUGGUGCAAGCUGCUUUCUUCUUGGUUGUGAUCUACAAAAUGAACUGGAGGAAGGCCUCUGACCAGGCAAUGAUCAACGCUGGUAUGAGGCUCAAUGUGGACCCUACUUACAGCUCCAGUAACAGCCAGGCAAAUGAUAUUCCAACAGGUACCAUGAAUUUAGUCACUUACCCUUUGAAAAGUGAUUGCCUGAGCCCAUCAAGAUUAGUUUUAUUUGUCACCUGAAAUUGAAACGUUGAAACAUACAGUGAAAUGCGUCGAUUUGCAUCAGCAUGGUCAAAGGAUUGUGCUGGGGGGGCAGCCCACAAGUGUCGCCAAGCUUAGACACCAGCGUAGGUUGCCGACAACUCACUAACCCCAACCUUUCUUCCAAACGUUCCUCCAACAAGUGUUUCUUCCAAACGUUCUUUGGAAUGAGGGUGGAAACCCACGCAGUCACGGAGAGAACGUACAAACUGCUUACAGACAGUGACGGGAAUUGAACUGAGAUCAUUGGCACUUUAAUAGUGUUAUGCUAACCACUAGACUACCGUGCCACCUCUAGCAUUUUUCUGGUAAAAGGCAAUGCGAAAAAAUAGCAGUAUUGUUAUAUCUCUUAUUCAACAAAUAGGAGUGGAAUGCCAUUCAGCCCAUCAGCUCUGUACCUGUCUAAUCUGCAUCUUUACUUCUGUAUCAGCUGUCCAUAGCCUUUGAAUUGAUUAUCUUUCUUAAAUUUAUCUGCCUUCAAUCCAGAAGAGUGUGAAGUGAUAGAUCUUGGAAGGUUGAACUUGAAGAUCUGAGUACAGGAGUAAUGGCAGGAUUCUUAACAAUGUGAAGGAACAGAGGGACCCUGAAGUCCUCAUCCAUAGACCCCUCAAAGUUGCCCUGCAGUUUGAUAGGUUGGUUAAGAAGGUAUAUGGUGUUUUCAUUAGUCAGGAAAUUGAGUUCCAGAGCAACAGGGUAAUGUUGCAUCUCUAUAAAACCCUGGUCAGACUGCACUUGGAGUAUUGUGUUCUAGGAUGGAUGUGGAAGCUCCAGAGAAGGCCCAGAGAUUUACCGGCAUGCUGCCUGGAUUACAGAGCACGUCUUCGGAGAAAAGGUUGAGCUAGCUAGGGAGCAGGAAAGGUCACUUAAUAGAGGCAUAGAUUGAGUGGACCACCAGAGACAUUUUUCCAGGGUGGAAAUGGCUAAUAUUGAAGGGGCAUUAUUUUAAGAUGAUUGGAGGUAAGAAUAGUGGUUUGUCCGAGGUAGGUUUUUUUUACACAGAGAGUGGUGGGUGCAGCAUUGAAUGUGUUGGUAAAGGCAGAUACUUUAGGGGCAUUUAAGAGACACUUCAAAAGGCAGAGGAUGAAAGGAGAAUGGAGGGUUUUGGAGGAGGGAAGGGUCGGAUUGAUUUUGGACUAGGUUAAAAAUUUGGCACUUCAUUAUGGGGUGAAGUGCCUGUGCUGUGCUCUGUGUGCUAUCACUCUGGGUAGGGAAUUGCAGAGACUCACUGCUUCCUGCAGGCAGAGGUUCCUGCACACCCUGGGCUCACCCAGCUCACCUGGAGAUACAUCGUCAUAACAAGGGAUAAAUCAUGAACCACCCUUCCCAACAGAACUAUCAGUUUUUUUUUUGGCCCUCUUUUAUGGAUCAAGCUUUCCUUUUAUGGAAAACAAAAGGUAUAACAUGUUUUCAUGAUUUGUUUUUGGAUGAUAGCUUUGUCCUUUGGACAGCUAUCUAAUAAAUAUAAUUUACCUAAAACCCAUUUUUUUUUAGAUAUUUGCAAGUUAGAAAUCUUUUGUUUAAUGAGUUAGUCUUUUCCAAAACUAUGUCCAUUGGACAUUACGGAAAGAAUUUUAGCUCUGAAUCCUUGUCAAAAGGGUUUAGUAGCUGUUAUUUAUAAUAUGAUCAUGAAAAUACAGCCAGAAGUAUCAGAAAAAAUUAAGAAGGAAUGGGAAGAAGAACUUCAUUGUCUUAUAUCCACUGAGCAGUGGGAGAAAAUUUUACUAUUAGUCAAUUCGUCCUUUAUUUGUGUUAAACAUGCCCUAAUACAAUUUAAGGUUGUACAUAGAGCUCAUAUGUCUAAGGAUAAACUGGCUCGAUUUUAUUCUCAUGUUAAUCCAACCUGUGACAGAUGUCAUUCUGAUGUUGCCUCAUUGACCCAUAUGUUUUGGUCUUGUCCUUGUUUACAAAAUUACUGGAAAGAUAUUUUCAGUAUUAUUUCAAGAGUUCUGGAUAUCAAUUUCCAACCGCCUCCUUUUACUGCAAUAUUUGGUUUACCAAUGGUGGAUAAUAGUCGUUUAUCCUCCUCAUCUCGACGAAUGAUUGCAUUUGUUACAUUAAUGGCUCGAAGAUCUAUUUUAUUGAAUUGGAAAGAAAUUAAUCCUCCAACUAUAUUUCAGUGGUUUUCUCAAACUAUCUCGUUUGAGCUUAGAAAAAAUUAUAAAUGUUGUUUUUGAUCCUUCAGUUGAAUUUGAAGAAACUUGGAGACCAUUUAUUCAACAUUUUCAUACGAGUUAAAGUGUCUUUUCCUAAACACUUUUAUUAUCCUUAAUUAUUUGGAUGGAGGUUCGGAGUUAUUGGCACUACUGUAUAUAUCUAACAUUAUGCAAUGGCCCAUGUUGUUUAGUGUUUUUUUUCUUUCCUUUUUGUUUUUUUUUCUUUUGUUCAUAAAUACUAUGAAUUUGGGAGCCUAUAUAUAUUGAUUAUAUAUUUGAAUGUCUACUUAAACUAUCAACUAUGUACUCUCAAACACUUUGUAUUCAUGUUUCAUUUAUGUUUGCUCAAAAAUUAAUAAAAAGAUUUAAAAAGAAAAGAACUA
Hypanus sabinus (Atlantic stingray) is the source of this 3193-nucleotide long non-coding RNA. RefSeq lists it as uncharacterized. Lineage: Eukaryota; Metazoa; Chordata; Chondrichthyes; Myliobatiformes; Dasyatidae. The transcript has 6 exons. The record is from RefSeq and is a predicted model, not a curated record.